This 253-nucleotide ribosomal RNA is filed under the name uncultured bacterium. RNAcentral's name for it is "partial 16S ribosomal RNA". It matches the Rfam family "Bacterial small subunit ribosomal RNA", at positions 524 to 776 of the family's 1533-position model. The record is from RNAcentral.
UACGUAGGGUGCAAGCGUUGUCCGGAAUUACUGGGCGUAAAGCGCUCGUAGGCGGUUUGUCGCGUCGGAUGUGAAAAUCCAGGGCUCAACUCUGGACCUGCAUUCGAUACGGGCAGACUAGAGUUCGGUAGGGGAGACUGGAAUUCCUGGUGUAGCGGUGAAAUGCGCAGAUAUCAGGAGGAACACCGGUGGCGAAGGCGGGUCUCUGGGCCGAAACUGACGCUGAGGAGCGAAAGCGUGGGGAGCAAACAGG